UACGUAGGGAGCGAGCGUUGUCCGGAUUCAUUGGGCGUAAAGAGCUCGUAGGCGGCUUGAUAAGUCGGAUGUGAAACCUCCAGGCUCAACCUGGAGUCGCCAUCCGAUACUGUCAUGGCUAGAGUCCGGUAGGGGCCCACGGAAUUCCUGGUGUAGCAGUGAAAUGCGUAGAUAUCAGGAGGAACACCGAUGGCGAAGGCAGGUCUCUGGGCUGACACUGACGCUCAUGCACGAAAGCGUGGGGAGCAAACAGG
Molecule: ribosomal RNA, 254 nt
Filed under: uncultured bacterium
Lineage: Bacteria
Description: partial 16S ribosomal RNA
Rfam family: Bacterial small subunit ribosomal RNA
Source: RNAcentral